This 507-nucleotide ribosomal RNA is filed under the name uncultured bacterium. RNAcentral's name for it is "bacterial SSU rRNA". It matches the Rfam family "Bacterial small subunit ribosomal RNA", at positions 333 to 837 of the family's 1533-position model. The record is from RNAcentral.
AGACUCCUACGGGAGGCAGCAGUGAGGAAUAUUGGUCAAUGGGAGAGAUCCUGAACCAGCCAAGCCGCGUGAGGGAAGACGGCCCUAUGGGUUGUAAACCUCUUUUGUCGGAGAACAAAACCCGGGACGAGUCCCGGACUGCGUGUAUCCGAAGAAAAAGCAUCGGCUAACUCCGUGCCAGCAGCCGCGGUAAUACGGAGGAUGCGAGCGUUAUCCGGAUUUAUUGGGUUUAAAGGGUGCGUAGGCGGUCCGUUAAGUCAGCGGUAAAAUUGCGGGGCUCAACCCCGUCGAGCCGUUGAAACUGGCAGACUUGAGUUGGCGAGAAGUACGCGGAAUGCGCGGUGUAGCGGUGAAAUGCAUAGAUAUCGCGCAGAACUCCGAUUGCGAAGGCAGCGUACCGGCGCCAGACUGACGCUGAGGCACGAAAGCGUGGGGAUCGAACAGGAUUAGAUACCCUGGUAGUCCACGCAGUAAACGAUGAAUGCUGGUUGUCCGGGUCGAAUGAGA